UUUAAAUCAGUAAAUUGAAAUGUUCACGCAGUGGAGAUCUUAGCAGGGCUUUAGCAGCGGAUAUGUGAGAUAUGCAGAGUGAGCGGUCAGUCGCCAAGCAAAAAUGUAAAUGUGUUGUGCCAGCCUGGUCCGUGGGGUGGGGGGCUGUAAACAGCGCCUUAUAAAAGCCCCAGUCAUCACGCUCAGCAUGGGCUCUGUGCUGUGAAGAAUAACAGGUGCUGUGAGCUUAGUGUGCCAGUGGUGUUUGUGGGGGCUCAGUCUCCAUUGAGAUGCAGAUACAGGGCUACCAGGUCUUCAGAGCAGAGAGUGCGGUCUGUACGAGGUCUUCAGAACAGAGAGUGCGGUCUGUACGAGGUCUUCAGAGCAGAGAGUGUGGUCUGUACGAGGUCUUCAGAGCAGAGAUUGCGGUCUGUACGAGGUCUUCAGAGCAGAGAUUGCGGUCUGUACGAGGUCUUCAGAGCAGAGAUUGCGGUCUGUACGAGGUCUUCAGAGCAGAGAGUGCGGUCUGUACGAGGUCUUCAGGGCAGAGAGUGCGGUCUGUACGAGGUCUUCAGGGCAGAGAGUGCGGUCUGUACGAGGUCUUCAGGGCAGAGAGUGCGGUCUGUACGAGGUCUUCAGGGCAGAGAGUGCGGUCUGUACGAGGUCUUCAGGGCAGAGAGUGCGGUCUGUACGAGGUCUUCAGGGCAGAGAUUGCGGUCUGUACGAGGUCUUCAGGGCAGAGAUUGCGGUCUGUCCCUAUUUUACUGACCUCAAGCUCCUGGUCUGGUUGAUGUAAAUUUCUCACUAUGGAAUGGAUGCCCUAAAAAGUAGAAUAUUACCAGCUUAUCCUGCAUCUGCAAUGUACUGCAGAGCACAGAUGGAUGCCGAGCUGGACGGCUGAGGUCUUUGAGUGAUGAUAGGUGAAUUCUUGAUACCAGGAUGUUCUCUUCUCAGGAGCUUUGCUGAAAGCAAUCACGAUAUCCCGUUAAGAGAACAGACCUGGGUUCAUGGUACAUGUGGUACGAUGUGUUUAAUGCCGCUUGUCAUUUCAGGCAGGGCUGUCUUCAUUUCAGAAUGGAAAAGUUGUCAUCGAGAGGCUAAAAGUAGAAUCCAAUGUAAUGCCAAGGUGCACCCAGCGUAGACUCGUCACUGUAAUGUAAAAUCCAGUCAACAAGGAGCAUCCAUCAGACCAGGCGCCCGGGACAAUGGAAAGUACAGCCGAGGUCGUUUAAUAAUGCUUGGCACAGAAAAGGAGCUGCAGGAUGUUGGGUGAAGCCUUACGUAAACAGGGCUUGUCUUAGCAUGGCUGUGCUGGGGCCUCUCCGCAGGGCACUGGGAACAUCCUUAAUUGCGUGACAGAAGGAGGGGAAUGGUGAGUGAUGUGCAUGGUAAACGGGGCGGCUAUUCCUUUAUAUGUGAUUUUAUUGCUUUUUAUAGACACAAACCACUAGUGAUGACAGAGAGCACGUCCCCAGGGUCCCCGCAGUGUUCGGCGACGGCCUGGCCUUUUCCUCAGGACCCAACAGAAUGGCUCGCACACCUUUUUCUGGUUACACAGACACCCCCGCCACCUAAAUCACCCGCCUCUACAUCUUUCUGCCCUAAAUUCCCCUACAUUUGCUUUAUUUAGCAGAUGCAUCUUAUUGUGUAAAUGUUUGAGAAAGCAGGGUCAGCCAAGUCCCCGGAGCAAAAGGUGGUUAAGGACCUCGCUCAGGGGCCCAAUGGUGACAUCACUCUACCAAGUGUGGGAUUUGAACCAGUAACCUUCCGAUGACAGGAACAGUGUUCCUAACUCACCAAGCUAUACAGCGCCCCAACUGGUGAUGGAUGGUAACUGGAAUGCAGUUCUGCUGUUCCAUUCCAAAUAGCACCUUCAUUACAGUGUCUUAUAAAGGUCCCUUAUUAAAAUCACACUCCUGCCACUGGAAUGUGGGGCAUCAGUUUAUACAUUUAGGACAGGAGUUUAUUAAUAUUACGCUGCAUCACGGGCUAUAAAUUCAUGCAUGCAGCAUUUGCAGUGCUUCCACCGCUGAAGAUGCACUGGUAGCAGACCAACGCGUUCUUUUAUUGCUGUGGUUUUUGCAGAUAGCACCAGAUUGUUUGUGAAAAAGUGCCUUGACUGGUUAUUGUUCCAGACUGUCUUUGAAGUAUAAUAUACUGCGUUAACAAUUCCAUUUUGAUGCUACAAUACCAUUUAAAAAUAUGGCAGACCUCAUGUACCACCAGCUUGUAGCAGGAGCUGUAAACCAGUAGGGCUUCCAGCAAUCAGAAAGACAUGAAAAAACUGAAUUUGAGUGUUAUGUUGCUUUAUAUGGAGAAGCAUUUAAAGUAUGCAGUAUGCUUAGUCACCCAAAACAGAAUAAAUCGCCUAAUGCAACGCGGAAGGGUGCUGUGUUUGCACGGGUGCAUGGAGAUGCUGCUUUGCACAUAUCCCAUCUUGCUCUCCUUUGAGACAC
Long non-coding RNA from Brienomyrus brachyistius, 2435 nucleotides. RefSeq lists it as uncharacterized. NCBI's taxonomy places the organism in Eukaryota, Metazoa, Chordata, Actinopteri, Osteoglossiformes, Mormyridae. The transcript has 3 exons. The record is from RefSeq and is a predicted model, not a curated record.